This 168-nucleotide ribosomal RNA is filed under the name Oligosarcus argenteus. Its description in RNAcentral is "partial small subunit ribosomal RNA". Lineage: Eukaryota; Metazoa; Chordata; Actinopteri; Characiformes; Acestrorhamphidae. The record is from RNAcentral. RNAcentral also lists the same sequence under 1 other name.
CACCGCGGUUAUACGAGAGACCCCAGUUGAUAGGCACGGCGUAAAGAGUGGUUAGGAAAUUUAAUUAAUAAAGUCAAAUAACCUUUAGGCCGUUGCACGUAUUCUGAGAACAUGAAGCCCCACUACGAAAGUAACUUUACCACCUCCGACCCCACGAAAGCUAAGAAA